RNAcentral lists this ribosomal RNA (200 nucleotides) under uncultured bacterium. Its description in RNAcentral is "partial 16S ribosomal RNA". It matches the Rfam family "Bacterial small subunit ribosomal RNA", at positions 30 to 238 of the family's 1533-position model. The record is from RNAcentral.
AUUGAACGCUGGCGGCAGGCCUAACACAUGCAAGUCGAGCGCUUCUAGCUUGCUAGAGGAGCGGCGAACGGGUGAGUAACGCGUAGGAAUCUGCCUGGUAGUGGGGGGCAACGUCUCGAAAGGGACGCUAAUACCGCAUACGCCCUACGGGGGAAAGGGGGGGAUCUUCGGACCUCUCGCUAUCAGAUGAGCCUGCGUCG